GAUGAACGCUGGCGGCGUGCUUAACACAUGCAAGUAGAACGAUGAAGCCCAGCUUGCUGGGUGGAUUAGUGGCGAACGGGUGAGUAACACGUGAGUAACCUGCCCUUGACUCUGGGAUAAGCGCUGGAAACGGCGUCUAAUACCGGAUACGAGCUUCCACCGCAUGGUGAGUUGCUGGAAAGAAUUUCGGUCAAGGAUGGACUCGCGGCCUAUCAGGUAGUUGGUGAGGUAACGGCUCACCAAGCCGACGACGGGUAGCCGGCCUGAGAGGGUGACCGGCCACACUGGGACUGAGACACGGCCCAGACUCCUACGGGAGGCAGCAGUGGGGAAUAUUGCACAAUGGGCGCAAGCCUGAUGCAGCAACGCCGCGUGAGGGACGAAGGCCUUCGGGUCGUAAACCUCUUUUAGCAGGGAAGAAGCGAAAGUGACGGUACCUGCAGAAAAAGCACCGGCUAACUACGUG
This 466-nucleotide ribosomal RNA is filed under the name uncultured bacterium. RNAcentral describes it as "partial 16S ribosomal RNA". It matches the Rfam family "Bacterial small subunit ribosomal RNA", at positions 28 to 507 of the family's 1533-position model. The record is from RNAcentral.